GAUGAAUGCUGGCGGCGUGCCUAAUACAUGCAAGUCGAACGGACGAUCGCAAGGUCGUUAGUGGCGAACGGGUGAGUAACGCGUUGGUGACCUGCCCUAUAGUGGGGGAUACCAGACCGAAAGGUCUGCUAAUACCGCAUGAGCUCUCGGGAGAUCAGAAGCCGGAGAGGAAAGCCGUACGUUUCGUAAGAAACGAUGGCGCUAAAGGAGGGGCCUGCGUCCCAUCAGCUAGUUGGUAAGGUAACGGCUUACCAAGGCGAUGACGGGUAGGGGACCUGAGAGGGUGACCCCCCACAAUGGAACUGAAACACGGUCCAUACACCUACGGGAGGCUG
Molecule: ribosomal RNA, 335 nt
Filed under: uncultured Chloroflexota bacterium
Lineage: Bacteria; Bacillati; Chloroflexota
Description: bacterial SSU rRNA
Rfam family: Bacterial small subunit ribosomal RNA
Source: RNAcentral